This 254-nucleotide ribosomal RNA is filed under the name uncultured bacterium. Its description in RNAcentral is "partial 16S ribosomal RNA". It matches the Rfam family "Bacterial small subunit ribosomal RNA", at positions 524 to 776 of the family's 1533-position model. The record is from RNAcentral.
UACGUAGGGGGCGAGCGUUGUCCGGAUUUAUUGGGCGUAAAGAGCUCGUAGGCGGUUUGGCAAGUCGGGUGUGAAAACUCCGGGCUCAACUCGGAGACGCCACUCGAUACUGCCAUGACUCGAGUCCGGUAGGGGAGUGCGGAAUUCCUGGUGUAGCGGUGAAAUGCGCAGAUAUCGGGAGGAACACCAGUGGCGAAGGCGGCGGCCUGGACUGAUACUGACGCUGAGGUGCGAAAGCGUGGGGAGCAAACAGG